This 2245-nucleotide ribosomal RNA is filed under the name marine sediment metagenome. Its description in RNAcentral is "bacterial LSU rRNA". It matches the Rfam family "Bacterial large subunit ribosomal RNA", at positions 14 to 2244 of the family's 2925-position model. The record is from RNAcentral.
AAAGCAUAGGGCGGAUGCCUUGGCACUAAGAACCGAUGAAGGACGUGGUAAGCUGCGAAAAGCUUUGGGGAGCCGCAAGCAGGCGUUGAUCCAGAGAUAUCCGAAUGGGGAAACCCACAUACGGCAAACCGUAUGUAUCCUAUGGUGAAUACAUAGCCAUAGGAAGGGAACCCGGUGAACUGAAACAUCUAAGUAGCCGGAGGAGGAGAAAGAAAAAUCGAUUCCCUGAGUAGCGGCGAGCGAAAGGGGAACAGGCCAAACCAGACUGGCUUUGCUAGUCUGGGGUUGCGGACCGAUAUAAGGGUACAAGUUGAUAGCUGAACACCGCUGGGAAGCGGGACCAUAGAAGGUGACAGUCCUGUAAGCGAAAUUAACGAAUAUCUGAUCGGUAUCCAGAGUACCAUGGGACACGUGAAACCCUGUGGGAAGCCGGGAGGACCAUCUCCCAAGCCUAAAUAUUCCUUAGUGACCGAUAGCGCAUAGUACCGUGAGGGAAAGGUGAAAAGAACCCCGGAAGGGGAGUGAAAUAGAACCUGAAACCCUAUGUUUACAAUUGGUCGAAGCACGUUAAAGUGCGACGGCGUACUUUUUGUAGAACGGGCCAACGAGUUAAGGUGUGCAGCAAGGUUAAGGACUUCAGGUCCGGAGCCGAAGCGAAAGCAAGUCUGAAUAGGGCGAAUUAGUUGUAUGCUUUAGACCCGAAACCGGGUGACCUAUCCAUGAGCAGGUUGAAGCGGGAGUAAAAUCUCGUGGAGGACCGAACCCAUAUACGUUGAAAAGUGUUGGGAUGACUUGUGGAUAGCGGUGAAAUUCCAAUCGAACUCGGAGAUAGCUGGUUCUCCCCGAAAUAGCUUUAGGGCUAGCCUCAAGGAGAGUAUCGCGGAGGUAGAGCACUGACUGACCUAGGGGCGUUUAUACGUUACCAAAGUUUAUCAAACUCCGAAUGCCGCAGAUAUAUACUUGGGAGUCAGACUGUGUGAGAUAAGUUUCAUAGUCGAAAGGGAAACAGCCCAGACCGUCAGCUAAGGUCCCAAAAUAUUAGUUAAGUGGGAAAGGAUGUUGGACUACACAGACAACCAGGAUGUUGGCUCAGAAGCAGCCAUUCAUUCAAAGAGUGCGUAAUAGCUCACUGGUCGAGUGGUUCAGCGCCGAAAAUGUCCGGGGCUCAAACUAAUUACCGAAGCUACGGCUUGUAUCUUUUAGAUGCAGGGGUAGGGGAGCAUUGUAUGCGGGACGAAGUCGUACCGGAAGGAGCGGUGGACUGCAUACAAGAGAGAAUGUUGGCAUGAGUAACGAAAGCGAAGUGAGAAUCUUCGCCAUCGGAAGCCUAAGGUUUCCUGAGGAAGGCUCGUCCGCUCAGGGUUAGUCGGGACCUAAGCCGAGGCCGAAAGGCGUAGGCGAUGGACAACUGGUUGAUAUUCCAGUACCACCUUAGAUUGUUUGAGAGAUGUAGUGACACAGAAGGGUAGGCAGAGCACACUGUUGGUUAUGUGUGUCUAAGCAGGUAGGCUAGUGCGCAGGCAAAUCCACGCACUGUUAGGCCGAGACGCGAAUGCGAGGGAAAUUUAGUACCGAAGUCGCUGAUCCCACGCUGUCGAGAAAAGCUACUAUUGAGAGAUAAGGUGCCCGUACCGUAAACCGACACAGGUAGGCAGGAAGAGAAUUCUAAGAUGAUCGAGAGAACCAUUGCUAAGGAACUCGGCAAAAUGACCCCGUAACUUCGGGAGAAGGGGUGCCCUUGAGAGUGAAGUCAUACGACGUAAGCUUUUGGGGGCCGCAGAGAAAAGGCCCAAGCGACUGUUUAGCAAAAACACAGGUCUCUGCUAAGUUGAAAGACGAAGUAUAGGGGCUGACGCCUGCCCGGUGCUGGAAGGUUAAGGGGAAGUGUUAGCGGUAACGCGAAGCACAGAACUUAAGCCCCAGUAAACGGCGGCCGUAACUAUAACGGUCCUAAGGUAGCGAAAUUCCUUGUCGGGUAAGUUCCGACCCGCACGAAAGGCGUAACGAUUUGGGCGCUGUCUCGGCAAUGGACUCGGUGAAAUUACAGUACUCGUGAAGAUGCGGGUUACCCGCGGCAGGACGGAAAGACCCCGUGGAGCUUUACUGCAAGCUGGCAUUGGAUUUUGGUAUAAUAUGUACAGGAUAGGUGGGAGACUUGGAAGCCGGAACGCCAGUUUCGGUGGAGUCGCCCUUUGGAUACCACCCUUAUUAUACUAGGAUUCUAACCAUAGGCCAUGAAUCUGGU